Molecule: long non-coding RNA, 1203 nt
Filed under: Ananas comosus (pineapple)
Lineage: Eukaryota; Viridiplantae; Streptophyta; Magnoliopsida; Poales; Bromeliaceae
Description: long non-coding RNA (ACOM_LNC042215)
Source: RNAcentral
GAUGUUGGCCCUAGUUCGUAGGGUAUCCUCACAUGGAGAGGACAUAGACGAGUUUUGAUUGUGAUGUUGGCCCUAGAUGGUAGGGUAUCCUCACGUGGAGAGGAUAGAUCAAGCUCACGGUCUGUUAUUUGGGGUGGUAUAGCCAUCUAUAUCCUCACAUGGAGAGGAUUGUCGUCGAGUACUCCGGAGUGUCGGGCGAUAGGGACCACAUGGAGGUCCACAGACAGUCCCGGGUUUGGGGGCACAUGGUGCUCCCCUACCCAAUUGGGAUGAAAAGGUGAGUUGAGGGCGAACCCAAGGAUCUCGCCAGAGAUUGGGUAAAUGGAAAACGAAUAUUGUCAUUGAACAUUAUUAUUCGAAUAUGGAUCGAACUUGUUAGCAUGAUAGUAAACCCUUACUAUAUGAUGCAUGCAUUCAUUACUCAUGAUUAUGGGCAUAGUAGCAUAGAUUUCCUAUUAUAUCAUUUACAGCUUUGAGAUAUCCAUCUAUAUAUCUAUCUUGUUGUUACUUGUGCCAACUUGGACCUAGUGGGGAGACCGGCGGAGUCGGCGGCCGAGCCCACUGGGAACUAUGGAAGAUAGUUCUCACCCCACUCUAUUUCCAGUGGUAGGUACAGGGUUGCCGAGAGAGGACCGUGGCAAGGGCAUCACGCCCAAUCAGUGAGACCGUUGUAGUAUAGUAGCUUUCCUUUUGCAUUAGCACACCUAUGUAUUGAGAGAGAUUCAUGUAGGUGAGGUUUGGAGAGCUAUGUAUGUUGAUGAGCAAAAUGUAUUCAUUUUGAGAAAAGAUGUAAAUGUAAAAGAAAGCAAACUAUUGUAAUAGUUAGUAAAGUACUCUCUUUAUUUCACUAGUAUAUUUAGUGGAUUACUUGCUCUUGUUGUUGUUGGCACUGUUUGUGCCCUGUUGAUUGUGUACUUAUAGAAUUUAAAUUCCUGGAUAAAUUCUUGUACUCAACCUGUUGUUAAGCCUUGGGCGGGCAGGGGAGGUGCUGUCCGUUCAGCGGUACGCCCGGCGCGCCCGAACCGAACUAAAUUGGUAGCGGUUUCGGGGCAGGGGCGUGACAAUAUAAAGGUUGGGAGAAACAUUGGGUUGGACAACCAAUCAAAAGACCAAACUACCCCUUACAUACUCAAAAAUAUAGCUGGGGUACUAAUACCCAAUUCCAAUACCGGUACCCGGCCCCUCAGCCCGCAGCCUCGCACA